GGCGUAGCCCAGAAAACUAGGAUGUUGGCUUAUAAGCAGCCAUCAUUUAACGAGUGCGUAAUAGAUCACUAGUGGAGUGGCACUGCGCCGAAAAUGUACCGAGGAUAAACGUAUUACCGAAGCUGUGGAUUGUCCUUGGGACAAUGGUAGGAGAGCGUUCUAAGGGUGUUGAAGCAUGAUCGUAAGGACAUGUGGAGCGCAUAGAAGUGAGAAUGCCGGUGUGAGUAGCGAAAGACGGGUGAGAAUCCCGUCCACCGAUUGACUAAGGUUUCCAGAGCAAGGCUCGUCCGCUCUGGGUUAGUCGGGUCCUAAGCUGAGGCCGACAGGCGUAGGCGAUGGAUAACAGGUUGAUAUUCCUGUACCACCUAUAAUCGUUUUAAUCGAUGGGGGGACGCAGUAGGAUAGGCGAAGCGUGCGAUUGGAUUGCACGUCUAAGCAGUAAGGCUGAGUAUUAGGCAAAUCCGGUACUCGUUAAGGCUGAGCUGUGAUGGGGAGAAGACAUUGAGUCUUCGAGUCGUUGAUUUCACACUGCCGAGAAA
RNAcentral lists this ribosomal RNA (539 nucleotides) under Escherichia coli. RNAcentral's name for it is "partial 23S ribosomal RNA". It matches the Rfam family "Bacterial large subunit ribosomal RNA", at positions 1077 to 1615 of the family's 2925-position model. The record is from RNAcentral. Lineage: Bacteria; Pseudomonadati; Pseudomonadota; Gammaproteobacteria; Enterobacterales; Enterobacteriaceae.